CGCACCUAAAAGCGUUUUCUUGAUAGUCUCUUUGAAAUGCUCUUGAAAAUCGUAGAUGUGUGCCAUAGCAAGGCUCAGUUGCAAGUGAUUCUGCCCCAUCGAUGGCAGCAGAAUCAUAAUAAGCUGGCUACAGAU
Drosophila persimilis is the source of this 135-nucleotide non-coding RNA. Lineage: Eukaryota; Metazoa; Arthropoda; Insecta; Diptera; Drosophilidae. The record is from Rfam.